AUACGGAGGGUCCAAGCGUUAUCCGGAAUCAUUGGGUUUAAAGGGUCCGCAGGCGGUCAAUUAAGUCAGAGGUGAAAGCCCAUCGCUCAACGAUGGAACUGCCUUUGAUACUGGUUGACUUGAGUCAUACGGAAGUAGAUAGAAUAAGUAGUGUAGCGGUGAAAUGCAUAGAUAUUACUUAGAAUACCGAUUGCGAAGGCAGUCUACUACGUAUAUACUGACGCUGAGGGACGAAAGCGUGGGGAGCGAACAGGAUUAGAAACCCUAGUAGUCCC
This 275-nucleotide ribosomal RNA is filed under the name uncultured bacterium. Its description in RNAcentral is "partial 16S ribosomal RNA". It matches the Rfam family "Bacterial small subunit ribosomal RNA", at positions 523 to 797 of the family's 1533-position model. The record is from RNAcentral.